Molecule: transfer RNA, 69 nt
Filed under: Bittacus strigosus
Lineage: Eukaryota; Metazoa; Arthropoda; Insecta; Mecoptera; Bittacidae
Description: tRNA-Phe
Rfam family: tRNA
About the family: Transfer RNA (tRNA) molecules are approximately 80 nucleotides in length. Their secondary structure includes four short double-helical elements and three loops (D, anti-codon, and T loops).
Source: RNAcentral
AUUUAAAUAGCUUAAUAAUUAGAGCAUAGCACUGAAGAUGCUAGGGUGAUUUUUUAAAAUCUUUGAAUA